UACGGAGGAUGCGAGCGUUAUCCGGAUUUAUUGGGUUUAAAGGGUGCGUAGGCGGGUUGUUAAGUCAGCGGUAAAAUUGCGGUGCUCAACGCCGUAGAGCCGUUGAAACUGGCGGCUUUGAGUGGGCGAGAAGUAUGCGGAAUGCGUGGUGUAGCGGUGAAAUGCAUAGAUAUCACGCAGAACCCCGAUUGCGAAGGCAGCAUACCGGCGCCCUACUGACGCUGAGGCACGAAAGUGCGGGUAUCGAACAGG
RNAcentral lists this ribosomal RNA (252 nucleotides) under uncultured bacterium. RNAcentral's name for it is "partial 16S ribosomal RNA". It matches the Rfam family "Bacterial small subunit ribosomal RNA", at positions 524 to 776 of the family's 1533-position model. The record is from RNAcentral.